RNAcentral lists this ribosomal RNA (471 nucleotides) under uncultured bacterium. Its description in RNAcentral is "partial 16S ribosomal RNA". It matches the Rfam family "Bacterial small subunit ribosomal RNA", at positions 35 to 539 of the family's 1533-position model. The record is from RNAcentral.
AACGAACGCUGGCGGCAGGCCUAACACAUGCAAGUCGAGCGCCCUUUCGGGGGAGCGGCGGACGGGUGAGUAACGCGUGGGAAUAUGCCCUUCUCUACGGAAUAGCCUCGGGAAACUGAGAGUAAUACCGUAUACGCCCUAUGGGGGAAAGAUUUAUCGGGGAAGGAUUAGCCCGCGUUGGAUUAGGUAGUUGGUGGGGUAAUGGCCUACCAAGCCGACGAUCCAUAGCUGGUUUGAGAGGAUGAUCAGCCACACUGGGACUGAGACACGGCCCAGACUCCAGGGGGAGGCAGGAGUGGGAGAGCGCAGAGGGUGGGGAGAACGCGGGAGUAGCGAGGCGGCGUGAGUGAGGAAGGAGUUGGGAUUAUAAAGCGCUUGGAGGUGGGAAGAAAAGGCCGGUACCACCAGACGAACCCCCGGCAAACGCCGUGCCAGCGGCCGCGUAAUAAGCGGAGGAGCACACGUCGGACC